AGUGGAGAACAGAAGCUUUGGCUUUGGCUUUGGUUGGCCAAGUUUCCUUCUCCAUCC
RNAcentral lists this microRNA precursor (57 nucleotides) under Monodelphis domestica (gray short-tailed opossum). RNAcentral's name for it is "microRNA mdo-mir-12314 precursor". Lineage: Eukaryota; Metazoa; Chordata; Mammalia; Didelphimorphia; Didelphidae. The record is from miRBase by way of RNAcentral.